Molecule: long non-coding RNA, 332 nt
Filed under: Elaeis guineensis (African oil palm)
Lineage: Eukaryota; Viridiplantae; Streptophyta; Magnoliopsida; Arecales; Arecaceae
Description: long non-coding RNA (EGUI_LNC020035)
Source: RNAcentral
AGGCUUGUGAUCCUAGUCAGUCUAAAUAAGUUCAUGUGAAUUAAUUCAAGUGGUCUAGAAGUUAAAACUAUAUUUUUAGAUUUGAAACUCCCCCUAGUUUAUUUUUCUAGUUGACAAGCAUCGCAAAUAUGAUCAUAUUUAAAUCUUUACUUGAGUAAUUUUUUAACUAAAUCAUUUAAAGUUAAUUUAGAUAAAAUAUGCAUACUAGCAUGUCUUAAUCUAUGAUGCCAUAACCAACUAGUUUCUUUGAUCUUAGUAUUAUUAGCAAUAAGAUAUUGGCCAUUCUUUAUGGCUAUCUUAUUGAGAUCAACUAAGUAGAUGUUGUCAUGCCU